Molecule: ribosomal RNA, 454 nt
Filed under: uncultured bacterium
Lineage: Bacteria
Description: bacterial SSU rRNA
Rfam family: Bacterial small subunit ribosomal RNA
Source: RNAcentral
UGCGAACUCCUACGGGAGGCAGCAGUGGGGAAUAUUGCACAAUGGGCGAAAGCCUGAUGCAGCGACGCCGCGUGAGCGAAGAAGUAUUUCGGUAUGUAAAGCUCUAUCAGCAGGGAAGAUAAUGACGGUACCUGACUAAGAAGCACCGGCUAAAUACGUGCCAGCAGCCGCGGUAAUACGUAUGGUGCAAGCGUUAUCCGGAUUUACUGGGUGUAAAGGGAGCGCAGGCGGUGCGGCAAGUCUGAUGUGAAAGCCCGGGGCUCAACCCCGGUACUGCAUUGGAAACUGUCGUACUAGAGUGUCGGAGGGGUAAGCGGAAUUCCUAGUGUAGCGGUGAAAUGCGUAGAUAUUAGGAGGAACACCAGUGGCGAAGGCGGCUUACUGGACUGUAACUGACGUUGAGGCUCGAAAGCGUGGGGAGCAAACAGGAUUAGAAACCCUUGUAGUCCAGAUG